Molecule: long non-coding RNA, 1459 nt
Filed under: Anas platyrhynchos platyrhynchos (common mallard)
Lineage: Eukaryota; Metazoa; Chordata; Aves; Anseriformes; Anatidae
Description: lncRNA (ENSAPLG00000023475.1)
Source: RNAcentral
AGAAGGUCAGUUUUCUUCCUCUUCUUGAAAAAGCUUUGGGUUCCUGCAAAAUAACCCAUCCCUUAUUGCACUCCACGUCACAAGCUCGAUCGUAAAGUGGGCAAAAUUUGGUUGCCUUCCGACCUGAACCACCCAAACCCUGGGCCGUUGAGCGGUGUUCAAGCGAUGAGUGGUCAAAACACGCUGCAGUUCCUGAGGGAUUUGGUGAGUGACUCCAGCAGGUUGUCUGAAAGCAACCUUGUCCUCUACAAACCUCUUCCAAGUUACCCUGGCACACGUAGAGUGUCUUCUCAUGGAAGAGAUGCUCUUCCAAGUUCUCUGCCAGCAUUCAUCCAGUUGCAGAUUAUCCUUGCGAGGAACAAGAAGGCACCGAUGGCUAAUUAAACACGGCAAAUAUACGUCCUAGCUAGAACUGAGAACUCCCACAAGUCGCCUUUGCAAAGGCUUUGUUGGUGAUUAUGAAAGUCAAACACAUAUGAUUUUCUUCAGAGCAAGAAUAAGCCCGUGCUACAGAUAACUGCAUGUAGUCUAUGCUAAUAAAACCAGAAGUGGGCAAUAUGCUCAUUGCUGUUUGGGGAAUUGCUGUAGAUUGUGUUAGGCACUGUCAUCUUUAGGCAUAUUGAUGAUGGUCAUGGUUGCCCAAAAGAUUUUAUCACUUAUGUUGUCUGAGAACUUUCAAACAUACGUUCAAUUUUUUUUUUUUUUUUUAAUUCUCCAAGGAAAAUAAUAGAAAAUCUCCAGAUUUUUAACAUUUAACAUUUUUAACAUCUUUCUUUUAACAUUUUGGCCUUUUUCCUCUCCAUGUCCCAGUUUUUCCAUCUCCUAAACGAUGCCAAAAUCCACUUUACAGGAACGUUGGAAGGCUUUAAUGACAGAUCAGAAGUGUGCUGAGCUCCUUGCUGGAGGGUGCCAUGUGUUAUGGUUAAUAAUGCAGACCCAAGUGACAACAGGAAUUACAAAGGGUGCUGUGAUGCCAUCCCAGAACUCUGCAGGCACGUUCCGAGGUAUGACAUUCACAUUUGUGCUCUGGUGGAAAACCUGGUGUUCCCUGAGCUCUGGGGGACUCCUCCUGUCUUUGGACGUCUCUUCCAGCACAGCAGACGCCACCUGCAGCAUCCCUCCCAAGGAGCUCCGCUUUCAAGAAAUGCACACGCGAGAAAGGAAACUGGACGUGAAAUCCUUGGAGCUUUCCAGGCUGAGCGAGGCUGAGGUUGCUGGCAGGCUGGGAAGGAGCAGAGCCUGCGAGGAGGAAGCAGAUCUCCUGAGCCUCGUUAGGGAGCCAGCCCCUACGUGUCCACGCAGAAACCUUCGGUCAGAGCUUCAGCUGGCGCCCGUACCAAGCCCAUUUCACUCCCGGAUCCUGUCUAAAGGAAUUGUUCAGGGAUUUAUCUGGAAUUGUCUUUGUUACACUCCAGCAGUGCGUGACAUUUUCUCAAACACUUUCCAAAAAGCUCCCUAG